UAACGCGUGGAUAACCUGCCGUAUGCAGGGGGAUAACAGUUGGAAACAGCUGCUAAUACCGCAUAAGCGCACAGUACCGCAUGGUACGGUGUGAAAAGAUUUAUCGGCAUACGAUGGAUCCGCGUCUGAUCAGCCAGUUGGCGGGGUAACGGCCCACCAAAGCGACGAUCGGUAGCCGGCCUGAGAGGGCGGACGGCCACAUUGGGACUGAGACACGGCCCAAACUCCUACGGGAGGCAGCAGUGGGGAAUAUUGCACAAUGGGGGAAACCCUGAUGCAGCGACGCCGCGUGAGUGAAGAAGUAUUUCGGUAUGUAAAGCUCUAUCAGCAGGGAAGAAAAUGACGGUACCUGACUAAGAAGCCCCGGCUAACUACGUGCCAGCAGCCGCGGUAAUACGUAGGGGGCAAGCGUUAUCCGGAUUUACUGGGUGUAAAGGGAGCGUAGACGGCGCUGCAAGUCCGGAGUGAAAGCCCAUGGCUUAACCAUGGUACUGCUCUGGAAACUGUGGAGCUUGAGUGCGGGAGGGGCAGGCGGAAUUCCUAGUGUAGCGGUGAAAUGCGUAGAUAUUAGGAGGAACACCGGCGGCGAAGGCGGCCUGCUGGACCGUAACUGACGUUGAGGCUCGAAAGCGUGGGGAGCAAACAGGAUUAGAUACCCUGGUAGUCCACGCCGUAAACGAUGAUUACUAGGUGU
Molecule: ribosomal RNA, 694 nt
Filed under: uncultured bacterium
Lineage: Bacteria
Description: bacterial SSU rRNA
Rfam family: Bacterial small subunit ribosomal RNA
Source: RNAcentral